UACGUAGGGAGCAAGCAUUGUCCGGAAUCAUUGGGCGUAAAGCGCGCGUAGGCGGCCCCGUAAGUCCGCUGUGAAAGUCAAAGGCUCAACCUUUGAAAGCCGGUGGAUACUGUGGGGCUAGAGUACGGAAGAGGCGAGUGGAAUUCCUGGUGUAGCGGUGGAAUGCGCAGAUAUCGAGAGGAACACCUGCGGCGAAGGCGGGUUGCUGGGCUGACACUGACGCUGAUGCGCGAAAGCCAGGGGAGCGAACGGG
Molecule: ribosomal RNA, 253 nt
Filed under: uncultured bacterium
Lineage: Bacteria
Description: partial 16S ribosomal RNA
Rfam family: Bacterial small subunit ribosomal RNA
Source: RNAcentral